UGGGGAAUAUUGCACAAUGGGCGCAAGCCUGAUGCAGCCAUGCCGCGUGUGUGAAGAAGGCCUUCGGGUUGUAAAGCACUUUCAGCGGGGAGGAAGGCGUUAAGGUUAAUAACCUUGGCGAUUGACGUUACCCGCAGAAGAAGCACCGGCUAACUCCGUGCCAGCAGCCGCGGUAAUACGGAGGGUGCAAGCGUUAAUCGGAAUUACUGGGCGUAAAGCGCACGCAGGCGGUCUGUCAAGUCGGAUGUGAAAUCCCCGGGCUCAACCUGGGAACUGCAUUCGAAACUGGCAGGCUAGAGUCUUGUAGAGGGGGGUAGAAUUCCAGGUGUAGCGGUGAAAUGCGUAGAGAUCUGGAGGAAUACCGGUGGCGGAGGCGGCCCCCUGGACAAAGACUGACGCUCAGGUGCGAAAGCGUGGGGAGCAAACAGG
Molecule: ribosomal RNA, 429 nt
Filed under: Chloroflexota bacterium
Lineage: Bacteria; Bacillati; Chloroflexota
Description: Chloroflexi bacterium partial 16S ribosomal RNA
Rfam family: Bacterial small subunit ribosomal RNA
Source: RNAcentral